Molecule: ribosomal RNA, 374 nt
Filed under: uncultured bacterium
Lineage: Bacteria
Description: bacterial SSU rRNA
Rfam family: Bacterial small subunit ribosomal RNA
Source: RNAcentral
UACGUAGGAUCCAAGCGUUGUCCGGAUUUAUUGGGUUUAAAGGGUGCGUAGGCGGCCUGUUAAGUCAGUGUUGAAAGUUAAGAGCUUAACUCUUAAAGUGGCAUUGAUACUGAUAGGCUUGAGUAUAGAUGAAGUGGGCGGAAUGUGUCAUGUAGCGGUGAAAUGCAUAGAUAUGACCCAGAACGUCGAUUGCGAAGGCAGCUCACUAAGGUAUAACUGACGCUGAGGCACGAAAGUGUGGGUAUCAAACAGGAUUAGAUACCCUGGUAGUCCACACUGUAAACGUUGAUAACUCGAUGUUUGCCCGAAUGAGGGUGAGCGUCUAAGGGAAACCGAUAAGUUAUCCACCUGGGGAGUACGCCCGCAAGGGUGAA